RNAcentral lists this microRNA precursor (206 nucleotides) under Oryza rufipogon (brownbeard rice). RNAcentral's name for it is "MIR812 microRNA precursor family". It matches the Rfam family "MIR812 microRNA precursor family". The record is from Rfam by way of RNAcentral. Lineage: Eukaryota; Viridiplantae; Streptophyta; Magnoliopsida; Poales; Poaceae.
AAAAAAACAAACCCUGGAUUUCCGUGUCCAACGUUUGACCGUCUGUCUUAUUUGAAAAAAUUAUAAAAAAAAUUUAAAAGACAAGUCACGCAUAAAAUAUUAAUCAUGUUUUAUCAUCUAACAAUAAUAAAAAUACUAAUUAUAAAAAAAUUUAUAUAAGACGGACAGUCAAAUGUUGGACACGAAAACCCAUGGUUUGUCUUUUU